This 79-nucleotide ribosomal RNA is filed under the name Gordius paranensis complex ZT2016 clade 1. RNAcentral describes it as "partial 28S ribosomal RNA". It matches the Rfam family "Eukaryotic large subunit ribosomal RNA", at positions 1 to 77 of the family's 3401-position model. Lineage: Eukaryota; Metazoa; Nematomorpha; Gordioida; Gordea; Gordiidae. The record is from RNAcentral.
UUCGACCUCAGAUCGAACGAGAAUACCCGCUGAAUUUAAGCAUAUUAAUAAGCGGAGGAAGAGAAACUAACGAGGAUUC